AACGUAGGAGACUAGCGUUAUCCGGAUUUACUGGGCGUAAAGGGCGCGUAGGCGGCCUUCUAAGUCGAACGUGAAAUCCCCGGGCUCAACCCGGGAACUGCGUCCGAUACUGGAAGGCUUGAAUCCGGGAGAGGGAUGCGGAAUUCCAGGUGUAGCGGUGAAAUGCGUAGAUAUCUGGAGGAACACCGGUGGCGAAGGCGGCAUCCUGGACCGGCAUUGACGCUGAGGCGCGAAAGCCAGGGGAGCAAACGGG
RNAcentral lists this ribosomal RNA (253 nucleotides) under uncultured bacterium. RNAcentral describes it as "partial 16S ribosomal RNA". It matches the Rfam family "Bacterial small subunit ribosomal RNA", at positions 524 to 776 of the family's 1533-position model. The record is from RNAcentral.